This 301-nucleotide ribosomal RNA is filed under the name uncultured bacterium. RNAcentral's name for it is "partial 16S ribosomal RNA". It matches the Rfam family "Bacterial small subunit ribosomal RNA", at positions 509 to 807 of the family's 1533-position model. The record is from RNAcentral.
CAGCCGCCGCGGUAAUACGAGGGGGGCAAGCGUUGUUCGGAAUUAUUGGGCGUAAAGGGUGCGUAGGCGGUUUGACAAGUCUUAUGUGAAAUCUCUGGGCUCAACCCAGAGUCUGCAUGGGAAACUGUCGGGCUUGAGUAUGGGAGAGGUGAGUGGAAUUUCCGGUGUAGCGGUGAAAUGCGUAGAUAUCGGAAGGAACACCUGUGGCGAAAGCGGCUCACUGGACCAUUACUGACGCUGAUGCACGAAAGCUAGGGGAGCAAACAGGAUUAGAUACCCCAGUAGUCCCUGUCUCUUAUAC